UGAGAUGACAACCUCACUAGAUAUCCUGGGAGAUGGUGGACGGACCGGGUUCAUAGGGAACCCUAUCGUGAACAUUGUCUCAUACCGGACAGGGUAUGGGGACGACCGCUUUACCCUCAUACCAAACUGGAUAUUGAGGUUUAAUGUCUUGGUACUCAUACUAGACGGGGUAUGGGGUCGGUUAUGUAAUUAAGAUUGUUAAGGAAAAUAGUUCACGUGUAGCGGGGAC
This 229-nucleotide long non-coding RNA is filed under the name Carica papaya (papaya). Its description in RNAcentral is "long non-coding RNA (CPAP_LNC011390)". The record is from RNAcentral. Lineage: Eukaryota; Viridiplantae; Streptophyta; Magnoliopsida; Brassicales; Caricaceae.